This 1896-nucleotide unclassified non-coding RNA is filed under the name Hevea brasiliensis (rubber tree). Lineage: Eukaryota; Viridiplantae; Streptophyta; Magnoliopsida; Malpighiales; Euphorbiaceae. The record is from RNAcentral.
AAAUUAAAAAAAAAAAAAAAAUGCCCUCAAUCAUAAAAAAAAAAUCCAAGAAAUUAUUUUAAAACAAAAUUCAAAGAAAUAAUUUUUUUAAAAAAAUUUCUCCUAGAAAAAACAUUAAUUUCCAAGAAUAAAAUAUUUUUCUAAAAAAAAAUCCAAGAGAAAAUUUCAGAAAUUUUCCCUGGAAAAGGUUUUUCCAAGAAAAAAAAUAAUGCAAUAAAUAUCAAACAGGGCUAAAAGUGUCUUUUUCGGUAAUUUAACUUUGAAAUAUUGACUUGCUAGUAAUUAUGAUCUAACUUCAAGGGGAAAAUAGCAGUUCUCCCUUAAUUUUAGAUAAAAUAGUCUGCUCCCAUGAUCUGGCAAUGGUAUGAUUCAUUCACUAUGUCAUAGUUGGAAGUUUACUUGAUAUAAUGAAGACAGUUGCCACUGCAUAAGGGAUGAUAAGGAGCUUAAGAACACCAGACAAUGUGGAUGGCUUGACUAGGGUUUGGAAAAAUUGAAGUUUUGGUGUGUUAUUUGGUGUUGAGGAUACAGUUUAGGUUCAAUUGAGGAUUAAAGGGAUAACUUUGCUGAUUUGGAAAUCCAAACUUGAAAGACAUUUAAUAUAAGGGGAAAUAAACAUCAAGUAUAGCUAAUCCUGCAUAGGGUUUCCUAGGCAGUCAUGCCUCCAAAAGAGUUGUUGAAAUUUCUUUGUUGUCUCUAUCACAAAUUAUGUAUUAUGGUAAGGAGCUCAAUAAUUCAAAAACAGGGAAAGCGAUAACAGAAAUAAGCAAAUAUUCUUCCACGUUCAACUCAAAAAUACUACUUCUUUGUUUACAACAGUAAGAUGAAAAACAUACUCAGCAGAACAAUAGCCAAAAGGAUUAAAUAAGCAAAAGAAAAUAUGCCAAGCCUGCAGGAUUACAAUCACAGCAGAAAGAUUUCUGCCCUUACUACACUAAAUUCUUCACACCUUCCUUAUAGUAGUAUUCUAUUACUAGAACCUUCCCAUCAUUACUCUUCCACGUGUCAGCAUUCCCGGAUCCUCCUCAAGAUUGUUCAGCUGGUAUCGGUAAGCUGGUGCCCAUAUUUUUGCUGCCGAUACUUUUUUUCCCUUCUAGAACACACUUUGAAUGCUCUGGGGCCAGGCCUGCUACCUCCUUUCCUAUCAUAUUACGUAAUGUUUAUAUUGGUUCUUGGUACUACAGUUAGCCUCCUAAUUGUAAUAAUGAGCAUAAUCUAUUUAAAUACAUUACUGAGCCAGAAAUUGCACAGUGCCAGGAAUAGUAUUCACAAUUGAUUUGGGUGUGGUGAUAUAAAAGAUAAGCUAUGUUAUUUUAACUAUAGAAGACCAAACAAAGACCACACAGGAAAGACCAGUUUAACUAAAUAAAACAUACAGAAAAUUCACUGGCCUCACAAAUUCCUCAUUCUUUUAUUUUAUUUUUUUAAAAGAGGGCUGUUGUUAAAGGAUCAGCCCUAAUACUUUGAACUGGAAAAACUUAAAGGAGUGUAACUAGCAGCCAACUAUCUAAAAACCUAAAUAUGUACUAGAACAGACACUAGAAGGUAUUAGGGUCACAUCAUUCUUGGAAAAUAAUUCUAUACUCAUUUUCUACCCUUGCUUUUCCUGAGCUCUUUGUUGACUGCAGGACUUAGCAUGUGGGUUUCUGAAAAGCCUGCAUGCGUGUUUGGCUUGGGCUAUGUGUGCCAAAGAAAUGGCUUGUUAAAGGGAUUGGCAUGAACUAACUUUAGUUAAUUGAAAUUAUGAAUUUUCUUAUACAUAAAAUUGGCGUAGAAACUUUGUAAAGCAAAUUAAUACUGCUUGAAGUAAUGCUAGGUUUUUCUAAAUUUUUAGGAAUAUAAAAUUUCAUAUUUUGAAGUACAGUGUAUGGGACACCCCUCACCCGUCUACAGUGU